Molecule: long non-coding RNA, 777 nt
Organism: Clupea harengus (Atlantic herring)
Lineage: Eukaryota; Metazoa; Chordata; Actinopteri; Clupeiformes; Clupeidae
Gene: fn1a
Exons: 3
Source: RefSeq, a predicted model, not a curated record
GGGCCAUUUGCACCUGUACCUGCCAUGGAGGACAACAGGGCUGGAGAUGUGAGGACUGCCAUCGCCCUGGUGCUGAUGUAGAUGCAGACCUGCUGCAGCCCAUACACACAGACGCCUUCGACCGCUACAGAGAGAACGCCCUGCGCAAACUGAAUAUCCAGUGUCCUAUUGAAUGUCUGAGACCAGACCUGUUGGCAGACGCCCAAAGCCCAACUGAAUAGGGUCCCUCUUUCUCCCUUGUUCUGCUAACUUUGUGGUUAGCCUUUAUGUGAAGGAAGUUUAUCCCCCCCAACCCCCUAAAAAAAGAACAACAACCCAUCCCAGCUCCCUAAAAUGAUACUGUCUCACCUUCACCUUCAAGAGAGAAACUGGAGGAUUGUGAAACAAAAUGUCCACCACUCUCUCUGUAGACCAGUUGUUGUGAAGGCUUGGUUGUUAGGACAGGCUGAGAUUUUAGGGAGCUGAGAUGGGACCUGUACAAAAACUGCACGUCUUCCUUACUGGUUCUGAUUUUUGGUUUGGACCAGAACACCAGCACCAUCUUUAUCCUGCUGCACCUUGUUGUACACCUGCCUUUUGCAGUAAGACUCCCUACCACAUCACAUCCUAUCCUGUUGCAUCACUUCCUGUGUAAGAACUGUCUUAUUCACUUUGCUGGGCUUCCCACUCACCCCCACCUUGCCCUCCAGCCCCGUCCACGGCCAAUCGAGAAAGAGAAUGCAAAGCUGACCUAUGCAGUGAACCUUAGUGCCUUACAGUAUUCCCUCUUUGAGGUUC